This 297-nucleotide long non-coding RNA is filed under the name Elaeis guineensis (African oil palm). Its description in RNAcentral is "long non-coding RNA (EGUI_LNC056237)". The record is from RNAcentral. Lineage: Eukaryota; Viridiplantae; Streptophyta; Magnoliopsida; Arecales; Arecaceae.
UUUCUUCAGUUUGUUUCUCAACCAUCUUAUGAUACUUCUUAAACUUAUCAAAGACUUUGGAUUUAUAUUUCAGAAGAUACAUAUAUCUAUACCUGGAUAAGUCAUCAGUGAAUAUGAUGAAGAAGGAGUACUCAUGUGAGAACCGAUCCAUUUCGACCUGUUUCACACUGAAACUGGCAUCCCUCACCGACUUCAUCAAAAAUCAAAAAAAAAAUCUUGGGGAAGUGGGGAGACAAAGCCAUAUUCGACUAGAACAAGAGAACCUUAUUUCAAGUUGAUCCAUGGUCAGUGAAGGGG